GAUAACGCUUUAGCGAGCCGCGAAGAUAGGAGGCGGGGAAGAAGGGGGACGUGUACCUCUCCCUCAUUCACGGUACAUUUACCUGAACUCAUCACCUUCCCACCCCCAUCCCAUCGACUCUGUGCUGUAUCCUGAACCGGCUGACAGAACAAUGAUGUAGACUUGACUUGUUUUCGCCAACCUGGAAUGAAGCAAAGCUCUUGUGCACCCAAGAUCUGCUCUCUGUUGUAAAUCCUGUUCAGACCUGGUCUAAUUGGUUUGAAUAAAUAAAGAACCGGAAUCUUUCUCAUCCAAA
RNAcentral lists this long non-coding RNA (295 nucleotides) under Homo sapiens (human). RNAcentral describes it as "STIM2 antisense RNA 1". The record is from RNAcentral. Lineage: Eukaryota; Metazoa; Chordata; Mammalia; Primates; Hominidae.